This 3859-nucleotide long non-coding RNA is filed under the name Homo sapiens (human). RNAcentral's name for it is "HSALNT0358977". The record is from RNAcentral. Lineage: Eukaryota; Metazoa; Chordata; Mammalia; Primates; Hominidae.
CCAGGACCCACAGGGAGGAGACCAGCAGAGGCAGGUGGGAUCAGGACUUGACCUUCCUCUUUCAAUAACUCUAAAUUAGUUCUUGCUACUUUCACUCGUUCAGGUUGACAGACUCCCUGAGACAUGCAGACGUGACUUCCUAAGCAUCAUUCGUGCGUCCAUCCCAGCCCUGCCGGACCAUGUCUGACCUGGGCUCAGGAUGGCACUGGCACCCAGGGGUGAUUUAGGGGUUAGGUUUCAGCGGGCUCUACCUGAGGUGGGCUCAGGUCACAGAGCACAGCCAGGAAGGAGAACCAAGCUCUUCUAGAAGUGUAUGGAAAGAGUUCCAGGAGGAAGAGCUGCCAGGCUGGGCCUGGAGUUGGCCAGGUACUGGGGUGGGGGAGGUGGGCUCCAGUGCUACGGCCAACCUCAGUGAUGACGCUUCCCAGGUCGCAGCCUUCUCCUCUACUCCCACCCUGCCGCUUGCAGCCCCUCCACCUACCCCACCUCUAGCCUCCCCUUGCUCCCCUCCCCUUCCAGGGCACUCUCAAGGACUCUAGCCCCCAAGCUCCCUGCGUCCGCACACUUCUCUGAGCAUCCCACCCUGAUGCUUUGAUAGACAUGGGCUGGCCUAGGCCCUGCCCCUUCUUCAGUCUUCUCCAGUGUGGGGACGCCAUUUCCUCUCCUGCUAUCAGCAACCCAGGCCUGGGAGACGUGGAGUCUGUCCUUAGAGACAGGUCUCUAAGUUCUGUCCCCCGCUUAGAGCAUUUCUCCUUUCCUUCCAGCUGUUCCCUCUCUCUAAACCCCUGACUCUGGUCUUGGGAGGACCGUGGAGCCUGUCUCACAGCUGUGAGUCCACUCUCUGGCUGGCACCUUCCUCUUCCCUCCUCCCUCAGAAGUGGCCCCUCCGGGCUCUGGUGCAUCUUCUCUCUCCUCAAGGACCUGUUCCCAUACCUCCUGCUUCCCUCUGCUCCCUCUCCUGGGGGCUUCCCCAGCCUCCCAACAGGCCCAGGAGGCCCUAAAAAGAAAACAAACCAAACUUCCCUUGACUCCACAACUCCUUCCGGCUACUAUCUCUUCUCCUUCCCCUGUUUAUAUCUACAGGUGUUUUCUAAUCUUAGUUGGUGACUCUACUGUCCAUUUUAGCUUUUAGCUUCACCCAGCAUCCUGUCUGCUAAGGUCACCAGGGACCUCCCGGGCCACGUGGAAUCACCACAUCUCAGUCCUUGACUUCUGCAGUCCCUUGCUCUGCCUCUUCCCUUGUUUCAAGCUCCAGCCUCUUCAGUUUGCUCCUGGAUUCACUCCCGCACCAGGGCCACAUGGUCUCAGUCUCCUUGCUCACUCCUCCUCCUCAGCCUGGCCUCUGAAAUUGCACCCUACCCUCCCCUGCCCCUGCUCAGCUGCUCAGUUGCUCAGCUCCUGCCCUUCUCUUGCCACCUGACCUCCCUAGACCUGAGGUUCUCAAUCUUAGCUUUGCACGAGAAUCAUCAGGGAGUUCUGCGAAAUGCUGAUGCCCAGGCUGAUCGCGUCCAGGGGAGGGCCAGGGUCACUGGCAUUUUUCCAACACUCUCAGGUGAUGUAAGUGCUCUGUGGGGGCUGAGAAGCCCAACCCAGGGUGGUGCCUCCACUCUCAAGGCACCAGCAUCGUGUCCUACACAGGUGCCUUCCAGCCUGACCCCUCCUCUGAGCACCACCUGCCAGUGUGACAGCUCCAUCUGGCAUGGGAAGCAAAAAAAAAAUGUUACUUAAAAAUCCAACGAGCUUAUUAAGGAAUCUGUGGCUGCACUCCGAGCUGGUCCCCACAGGCUCGUGGUUCUUCUUAAUCAAGUAGUAAAUCCUUUAUAAGGUGGUGAGUGUCUCACCACAAUCAUAUGAUCUAGAUGUUAUUAUUCCCAGUUUACAGAUGAGGAAACAGGCACAGAAACUUGCCCAAGGCCAUGCAGGUAGCAGGAGGUGGAGCUGGGAUUACAAACCCAGACAGUUUUGGCUCAACAGUCCAGGGUCAUAACCACAGUCCAGCUUCAGUGAGUCCUGCUGCCUUCACAGGGGACAGCGGCCGGCAAGGUUGGCUCCUUGGACUGGGCACACACGGCCACAGGGACAGGCAGGCAGAUAAUGGGACUGUCAUCGCCACAUACAUGUGACAAUCUCCUUUGCUGCUGCCUUUAUGUUCCCAUCCUUAAAUACCUCUCCCCAGGAUCAAGGCUGGCUGCAACAUUUAUCCAGGCCCAAACCCAACAUAGACGGAGUCCAGCCCCACCAGGCAUGGUAGCAUUUUUUGUGAUCUGGAGUAAGACCCUCUACUGGCAACUUCACUGGAAAUUCCCUGGGUUCUAAGGAAGGAAUGAACCUUGUUGGACUCCAGGGGGUCAAGGGGAAUCCUGGAUGUUAGCAUGAGAGCCCCAGAUGAGCCUGAGCUUCUGUUCAGUCCUGCCACCCAUCCUGCCUGGAGAGCCUGGGUCCAGGAAAGAGACCUCUGGAGGUCCUUGCUUUUGCAAAGGAAGCAGUUUUUCACACAGCUUCUGUGGCCAACUACUAGCGUCCAGUGUUGUUUCAGUUGAGAUUCCUGAUGAGCCCAGUUUUAUCUUUUUGCACCCUCCUUCAAUUUCCUUGUGUGUAAAAUGGGAUGACCAUCUCCUCGGUAAGAUGUCAGGUGGUGAGCACAGUGCCUGCAUGUGGUAAGUGCUAAAGAAAAGUAAUUAGAAUCAGUAAAACUGAAGAACUCUUUAGAAAAAGCAGUCACCUGUGCUGGCUGAGCUUGUGUAAAAGAAAGAUUUACUGACUCAGUUUUAAUUUCUGUGAAUACACCUUUGUGUAGUGAGGAGCAAACCAAGAGGACUGAGCCUUGGGCCUGCCAGCAACUCACCUGAUGCCUUUCUCUGGGCCUCAGUUUUUCUCUCUCUGAAGUGGAUGUGUGUCAUAUGACCCAGAGAUUUCUAAUCUAUCUUCUCCAGCUAGAUUCUUGCAUUAGGGGUGAACUUGUUCAUUGGGUAGAGUUGCUUCCCCUGGUUUGGAGAGGCAGCAUUUGCAGCCCCAGAGGCUAUCAGGGAUAAGGGUGUUGGGCCAAGAAUAGCUGGGCCAGGAGCAAUAAACUGUUAAGGGCUUGAUGAGUCUGAGCAACUGACCAAUAACAUCCAAUGCCCCUGGAACCUGGCAACUCCAACUUUAGGUGGCAGAGGAUUAAACACAUUUUGCCUCAAGGUGAGUCUGUACAGGUCCCCAGUGGUCUCUGGGCCUGCCUUCCAGCUCUGUGAGGAACAGGAGCUGAGCAAGUGCCUACAGUCACCACGCUGCCUACAGUGUCCAGGGGAUUCUAGCCUGGAUAGGAAAACUGGCUUGGCUGAGUGGACUGUCCCAGGGUGAGGAUCUGGGAAUGAGCAUAUGGGGAUGGCAGACUACCACACGCCCUGGAAGCUGGAGAGGAAGGAGGCACCCAGGACAGAAGGUGAGGUUGCCCCAGGUCAACAACUUCCAGAUGAGAUCCACCUUGAGUCAUGAUCCUCAGAUGCCAAGCCACAGGAACCUCAUCACCCACCUCAUCAUCCAAACUGGAACUUGAUGGAAAUCAUUCCACAACUAUGUGUUGGUGGGUUGUCUUCUUAAUACUUGGAAGGAGGUCUUAAUACUUAUCCCACUGAAAUCAUGCUACCUACACCUAGCAAAACAUACAUCAAAGAAAAACUUCUAACUGGGUAUAUCACAUGCCCACUGUACUAACACACUGGAGAACCCCCAACAACAGGAGGCCCGGGGAGAGUCCCUGACCCACAGGGACUUCAGGUCAAGACCACACCCACCAUCCUUUCAAGGUGGAGACAGUCCCCGUAGGAACCAAACUGAUGUAUAAUAAAACUCAUCAUUUAUUUCUCUUCUCCCUACA